Micropterus salmoides (largemouth bass) is the source of this 616-nucleotide long non-coding RNA. RefSeq lists it as uncharacterized. The record is from RefSeq and is a predicted model, not a curated record. The transcript is spliced from 4 exons. NCBI's taxonomy places the organism in Eukaryota, Metazoa, Chordata, Actinopteri, Centrarchiformes, Centrarchidae.
UUUGACAACAUAACAAGACCAUUUUUGUUGGAAUAUAAUCGAUCGGUGGAUUACGCUUCAUAGCCGCUGUUAACGGACCUCUGAACCCGAUGGUGAGAUGGGAACUCGAAGCGCAGGUGAGGAAGGUCGUCCUCUCUCCAUGUCAAAGGGAAGCUCCCGUCGAGGCCUUUUCUUCUUCUCCGUGUCCAAAUCCCUCAUCUCCCCUGAACCAUGGCCGUGGCCCUCUGCCCGAGCAAGGACGCCAGACAAGAAGUCAGCUAUUUCGUCCUACAGUGAUGAAAGAAGAAAAUCAACAUCAUAGAGCAAACACCGUGGCUGUUUCUGAAUCUGGGAUGAUCACAAUUUGAGUUGAUGGAUUGGUUUUUGCUCCUCUGUUGAGACCAUGCAACCUUUGAGUGCAGUGUUGCCCUGGCGCCCAUCAUUACUCAGAGGUCAGCGGUAGAUGAUGAAGCGGUGGCUGUAGCUUCAGCAGCGGCCGUGACUUACCUGAGGUUGUCAUCUGCUCCUCCCACCACCACCAUGCUGUUGUCUGCCCUCAGCUUCUCUCUGAGCUCCUCCAUGCCUUCUAUGCUACACUGCAGAGCAUUCUGUCCGACCACAAACAACACUGGGGUCU